GAUGAAGAACGUAGCGAAAUGCGAUAAGUAAUGUGAAUUGCAGAAUUCAGUGAAUCAUCGAAUCUUUGAACGCACAUUGCGCCCAUUAGUAUUCUAGUGGGCAUGCCUGUUCGAGCGUCAUUAAGUCCACUUAAGCCCUGCUUAGUGUUGGGAGACUGCUCCAGCGGUGCUACCCUGUAGCUACCCUACAGCUCCUCAAAGACAGCGGCGGAGUUGUGGUAUCCUCUGAGCUUAGUAACUUGUUCUAGCUUUCGAGUACACCACUUCCCCUGCCGUAAAACCCUUAAUUUUUAAUGGUUGACCUCGGAUCAGGUAGGAAUACCCGCUGAACUUAAGCAUAUCAAUAAGCGGAGGA
RNAcentral lists this unclassified non-coding RNA (355 nucleotides) under soil metagenome. RNAcentral describes it as "partial contains 5.8S ribosomal RNA, internal transcribed spacer 2, and large subunit ribosomal RNA". The stretch from base 1 to 120 matches the Rfam family "5.8S ribosomal RNA", at positions 35 to 154 of the family's 154-position model. The record is from RNAcentral.